GACGAACGCUGGCGGCGUGCUUAACACAUGCAAGUCGAACGGAAAGGCCCUGCUUUUGUGGGGUGCUCGAGUGGCGAACGGGUGAGUAACACGUGAGUAACCUGCCCUUGACUUUGGGAUAACUUCAGGAAACUGGGGCUAAUACCGGAUAGGAGCUCCUGCUGCAUGGUGGGGGUUGGAAAGUUUCGGCGGUUGGGGAUGGACUCGCGGCUUAUCAGCUUGUUGGUGGGGUAGUGGCUUACCAAGGCUUUGACGGGUAGCCGGCCUGAGAGGGUGACCGGCCACAUUGGGACUGAGAUACGGCCCAGACUCCUACGGGAGGCAGCAGUGGGGAAUAUUGCACAGUGAGCGGAAGCCUGAUGCAGCGACGCCGCGUGCGGGAUGACGGCCUUCGGGUUAUGAACCGCUUUCGCCUGUGACGAAGCGUGAGUGACGGUAAUGGGUAAAGAAGCACCGGCUAACUACGUG
Molecule: ribosomal RNA, 468 nt
Filed under: uncultured bacterium
Lineage: Bacteria
Description: partial 16S ribosomal RNA
Rfam family: Bacterial small subunit ribosomal RNA
Source: RNAcentral